Molecule: long non-coding RNA, 608 nt
Filed under: Homo sapiens (human)
Lineage: Eukaryota; Metazoa; Chordata; Mammalia; Primates; Hominidae
Description: HSALNT0266625
Source: RNAcentral
GCCCCUUCCAGCUAUGGGACUCAGGCAAGUCACUUGACUCCGAGCCUCCACCGCUUCUGCCUGAGGGAAGGACCCUCCUCAUGGGGUUGUAAUGAGGAUUCACGAGUGGAUGCACCCGCAGUGCUCAGCACCACACCUGGCCUGGUGAGAAAUCCACAGAUGCCAGCCAUGUGCAGUAUUAGCAUGUGCUCAGGGCAGCUGCCUCCUAGUCCCGGCUUCCUCAGUGAGCACCUGUGAGAACCUAAGCUGCCUACCCCUGCCUCACUUUCCCUCCUGUGUAAUGGAGUCCCUCCUCCAGCACUGGGAACCACAGGGGCCAUCACGAGGGCUCAAGGGCAGAAGUCACCUGCGGGAUGCCGAGCUGGGGACAUGGAGUUCCUGCCCUCAAGGGGCUUGCACUCCGGGAUGGAUGAGGAUUGCCAGCAUGUGCUAAACACCUACCGUGUGCAAGGCCUAGGAGCGUGUGCUCAGUAAAGGCCAAUUACACACAUCACCACCUACCCUAAUGGGGUAAGUGCUGCUAACCCCACUUGACAGAUAAAGAAACUGAGGCCCAGGAAAGGCAGUGACAUGCCCAGGGCCAGAAAGCAGAGGCUUAGCAGAGCCGG